GACGAACGCUGGCGGCGUGCUUAACACAUGCCAGUCGAACGGAAAGGCCCUGCUUUUGUGGGGUGCUCGAGUGGCGAACGGAUGAGUAACACGUGAGUAACCUGCCCUUGACUUUGGGAUAACUUCAGGAAACUGGGGCUAAUACCGGAUAGGAGCUCCUGCUGCAUGGUGGGGGUUGGAAAGUUUCGGCGGUUGGGGAUGGACUCGCGGCUUAUCAGCUUGUUGGUGGGGUAGUGGCUUACCAAGGCUUUGACGGGUAGCCGGCCUGAGAGGGUGACCGGCCACAUUGGGACUGAGAUACGGCCCAGACUCCUACGGGAGGCAGCAGUGGGGAAUAUUGCACAAUGGGCGGAAGCCUGAUGCAGCAACGCCGCGUGCGGGAUGACGGCCUUCGGGUUGUAAACCGCUUUCGCCUGUGACGAAGCGUGAGUGACGGUAAUGGGUAAAGAAGCACCGGCUAACUACGUG
This 468-nucleotide ribosomal RNA is filed under the name uncultured bacterium. Its description in RNAcentral is "partial 16S ribosomal RNA". It matches the Rfam family "Bacterial small subunit ribosomal RNA", at positions 28 to 507 of the family's 1533-position model. The record is from RNAcentral.